CCUACGGGGAGCAGCAGUGAGGAAUAUUGGUCAAUGGGCGCGAGCCUGAACCAGCCAAGUAGCGUGCAGGAUGACUGCCCUACGGGUUGUAAACUUCUUUUAUAAAGGAAUAACGUGAGCCACGUGUGCCUUUCUGUAUGUACUUUCUGAAUCAGGAUCGGCUAACUCCGUGCCAGCAGCCGCGGUAAUACGGAGGAUCCGAGCGUUAUCCGGCUUUAUUGGGGUUAAAGGGAGCGUAGAUGGGUUGUUAAGUCAGGUGUGAAAGUUGGCGGCUCAACCGGAAAAUUGCAAUUGAUACUGGCAGUCUUGAGUACAGUAGAGGUAGGCGGAAUUCGUGGUGUAGCGGUGAAAUGCUUAGAUAUCACGAAGAACUCCGAUUGCGAAGGCAGCUUACU
This 395-nucleotide ribosomal RNA is filed under the name uncultured bacterium. RNAcentral describes it as "partial 16S ribosomal RNA". It matches the Rfam family "Bacterial small subunit ribosomal RNA", at positions 338 to 730 of the family's 1533-position model. The record is from RNAcentral.